GUGCCAGCAGCCGCGGUAAUACGUAGGAGACGAGCGUUGUCCGGAAUUACUGGGCGUAAAGCGCGUGUAGGCGGAUGAGCAAGUCUGCUGUGAAAGCUCCUGGCUUAACCGGGAGUGGUCGGUGGAAACUGCUCGUCUGGAGGACGGUAGAGGUAGGUAGAAUUCCCGGUGUAGUGGUGAAAUGCGUAGAGAUCGGGAGGAAUACCUGUGGCGAAGGCGGCCUACUGGGCCGGACCUGACGCUGAGACGCGAAGGCGUGGGGAGCGAACGGGAUUAGAUACCCCCGUAGUCC
This 292-nucleotide ribosomal RNA is filed under the name uncultured bacterium. Its description in RNAcentral is "partial 16S ribosomal RNA". It matches the Rfam family "Bacterial small subunit ribosomal RNA", at positions 505 to 796 of the family's 1533-position model. The record is from RNAcentral.